This 467-nucleotide ribosomal RNA is filed under the name uncultured bacterium. RNAcentral describes it as "partial 16S ribosomal RNA". It matches the Rfam family "Bacterial small subunit ribosomal RNA", at positions 28 to 506 of the family's 1533-position model. The record is from RNAcentral.
GACGAACGCUGGCGGCGUGCUUAACACAUGCAAGUCGAACGGUGAUGCUCCAGCUUGCUGGAGUGGAUCAGUGGCGAACGGGUGAGUAACACGUGAGCAACCUGCCCCAGACUCUGGAAUAAGCGCUGGAAACGGCGUCUAAUACUGGAUACGAAACUGGCCCGCAUGGGCAUGGUUUGGAAAGUUUUUCGGUUUGGGAUGGGCUCGCGGCCUAUCAGCUUGUUGGUGAGGUAAUGGCUCACCAAGGCGACGACGGGUAGCCGGCCUGAGAGGGCGACCGGCCACACUGGGACUGAGACACGGCCCAGACUCCUACGGGAGGCAGCAGUGGGGAAUAUUGCACAAUGGGCGAACGCCUGAUGCAGCGACGCCGCGUGGGGGAUGACGGCCUUCGGGUUGUAAACCUCUUUCAGCAGGGAAGAAGCGAAAGUGACGGUACCUGCAGAAGAAGCACCGGCUAACUCCGU